This 253-nucleotide ribosomal RNA is filed under the name uncultured bacterium. RNAcentral describes it as "partial 16S ribosomal RNA". It matches the Rfam family "Bacterial small subunit ribosomal RNA", at positions 524 to 776 of the family's 1533-position model. The record is from RNAcentral.
UACGAAGGGGGCGAGCGUUGUUCGGAAUUACUGGGCUUAAAGAGUUCGUAGGCGGCGCGGAAAGUAGGGUGUGAAAGCCCUCGGCUCAACCGAGGAAUUGCGCUCUAAACUACCGUGCUUGAGGAAGCUAGAGGUGAGCGGAACUGAUGGCGGAGCGGUGAAAUGCGUUGAUAUCAUCAGGAACACCGGAGGCGAAGGCGGCUCACUGGGGCUUUUCUGACGCUGAGGAACGAAAGCCAGGGGAGCGAACGGG